GACGAACGCUGGCGGCGUGCUUAACACAUGCAAGUCGAACGGAAAGGCCCUGCUUUUGUGGGGUGCUCGAGUGGCGAACGGGUGAGUAACACGUGAGUAACCUGCCCUUGACUUUGGUAUAACUUCAGGAAACUGGGGCUAAUACCUGAUAGGAGCUCCUGCUGCAUGGUGGGGGUUGGAAAGUUUCGGCGGUUGGGGAUGGACUCGCGGCUUAUCAGCUUGUUGGUGGGGUAGUGGCUUACCAAGGCUUUGACGGGUAGCCGGCCUGAGAGGGUGACCGGCAAAAUUGGGACUGAGAUAAGGCACAGACGGCAACGGGAGGCAGCAGUGGGGAAUAUUGCACAAUGGGCGGAAGCAUGAUGAAGAAACGCAGCGUGCGGGAUGACGGCCUUCGGGUUGUAAACAGAUUUAGAAUGAGAAGAAGCGUGAGUGACGGUAAUGGGUAAAGAAGCACCGGCUAACUACGUG
Molecule: ribosomal RNA, 468 nt
Filed under: uncultured bacterium
Lineage: Bacteria
Description: partial 16S ribosomal RNA
Rfam family: Bacterial small subunit ribosomal RNA
Source: RNAcentral